CCAGACUCCUACGGGAGGCAGCAGUGGGGAAUAUUGGGCAAUGGGCGCAAGCCUGACCCAGCAACGCCGCGUGAAGGAAGAAGGCUUUCGGGUUGUAAACUUCUUUUAAGAGGGAAGAGCAGAAGACGGUACCUCUUGAAUAAGCCACGGCUAACUACGUGCCAGCAGCCGCGGUAAUACGUAGGUGGCAAGCGUUGUCCGGAUUUACUGGGUGUAAAGGGCGUGUAGCCGGGCUGACAAGUCAGAUGUGAAAUCCGGGGGCUCAACCCCUGAACUGCAUUUGAAACUGUUGGUCUUGAGUAUCGGAGAGGCAGGCGGAAUUCCUAGUGUAGCGGUGAAAUGUGUAGAUAUUAGGAGGAACACCAGUGGCGAAGGCAGCAUACCGGCGCCCAACUGACGCUGAAGCACGAAAGCGUGGGUAUCGAACAGGAUUAGAUAUCCGAGUA
This 446-nucleotide ribosomal RNA is filed under the name uncultured bacterium. RNAcentral describes it as "bacterial SSU rRNA". It matches the Rfam family "Bacterial small subunit ribosomal RNA", at positions 331 to 792 of the family's 1533-position model. The record is from RNAcentral.